GGGGACUUAGCUCAGUGGUGCAGAGUCUGCCUGGCAAGCGGGAGGUCCUGAGUUCGAUUCCCAGAUCCCUA
This 71-nucleotide transfer RNA is filed under the name Cavia porcellus (domestic guinea pig). It matches the Rfam family "tRNA". From Rfam's summary of the family: Transfer RNA (tRNA) molecules are approximately 80 nucleotides in length. Their secondary structure includes four short double-helical elements and three loops (D, anti-codon, and T loops). Further hydrogen bonds mediate the characteristic L-shaped molecular structure. tRNAs have two regions of fundamental functional importance: the anti-codon, which is responsible for specific mRNA codon recognition, and the 3' end, to which the tRNAs corresponding amino acid is attached (by aminoacyl-tRNA synthetases). tRNAs cope with the degeneracy of the genetic code in two manners: having more than one tRNA (with a specific anti-codon) for a particular amino acid; and 'wobble' base-pairing, i.e. permitting non-standard base-pairing at the 3rd anti-codon position. Lineage: Eukaryota; Metazoa; Chordata; Mammalia; Rodentia; Caviidae. The record is from Rfam by way of RNAcentral.